This 1358-nucleotide ribosomal RNA is filed under the name Xestia dilatata. RNAcentral describes it as "16S ribosomal RNA". Lineage: Eukaryota; Metazoa; Arthropoda; Insecta; Lepidoptera; Noctuidae. The record is from RNAcentral.
GGGGAAAAAUUAAUUAGUUAAUAAAAUAAAAAAAAGAUUUUUAAAUAGGAUAUUUUGGGGUUAAAGUAUUUUUAUAGAAAAAAUUUAAUAAAUUAUAAUAAAUUAGUAUUGUGAAAGAAAUUUGAAAUAAGUGAAAUAAAAAAUGAAUUAAAAGUAAUUUUAAUUUAGUGUAUCUUGGGUAUCAGAGUUUAUUAAUAAAAAUUUUUAGUAAAAAAAUUCUCGAAUUUAAAAGAGAUAAUUAAUUAAUAAAGUUAUUGUAGCAUAAAUAUUUAAAAUAAUUAAUUUGAAAUGAAAUGUUAAUCGUUUUUAAAUAUAUCUAGUUAUUUUAGAAAAAAAUUUAAUUUUAAAUUAUUUAUAAAAAAAAAUUAAUUAAUUAAUUUUUUUUUGAGAUAAUUUUAUAUUUUAAGGGAUAAGCUUUAAUUUAAAUUUAUAUAAAUAAUUAAUUAAAUUUAAAUUGAAUUUUGUAUAAUUUAUAUUGUUAAAAAAUUUUAAUUUAUUAUAAAUAAUUUCAUUUAAAAUAAAAUUUAAUAUAAUUUUAUAUAUUUAUAAAAUAAAAUUUUUUAAUAAAAUAAAAAUUGAUAUAAUGAUAAAAUUAGUAUAUAAAUUUAAUUAAAAUAUAUUUUUUAAUAAAAUUAAAUAAAAGGAAUUCGGCAAAAAUUUAUAUUCACUUGUUUAUCAAAAACAUGUCUUUUUGAAAAUAAUUUAAAGUCUAAUCUGCCCACUGAUUUUAAAAUUGAAGGCUGCAGUAUAUUGACUGUACAAAGGUAGCAUAAUCAUUAGUCAUUUAAUUGAUGACUUGUAUGAAGGAUUGGAUGAAAUAUAAACUGUUUUUUAAUUAAAUGUAGAAUUUAAUUUUUUAAUUAAAAAGUUAAAAUAAAUUAAAAAGACGAGAAGACCCUAUAGAGUUUUAUAAAUAAUUUAAUUAAGAUUAUUUUUAAAUAAAAAUUAAAAUUAAAUUAUUUAUUUUGUUGGGGUGAUAAAAAAAUAAAUAAAACUUUUUUUAAAUAAAAACAUGUAUAAGUGAAUAAAUGAUCCAAUAUUAUUGAUUAAAAGAAAAAAUUACCUUAGGGAUAACAGCGUAAUUUUUUUUUUUAGUUCAAAUAAGAAAAAGAGUUUGCGACCUCGAUGUUGGAUUAAGAUAAAAUUUAAAUGCAGAAGUUUAAAAUUUUUGAUCUGUUCGAUCAUUAAAAUCUUACAUGAUCUGAGUUCAAACCGGUGUAAGCCAGGUUGGUUUCUAUCUUUUAAAAUAUUAAAAUAUUUUAGUACGAAAGGAUUAAAUAUUAAAAUUAAAUUUAUUUUAAUGAAUUUUAUUAAAUUGUUUUAUAAAUAUAUUUUAUAAUGAUUUUUGAUAUAUAUAU